UGGCGGCGUGCUUAACACAUGCAAGUCGAACGAGGGUCAUUUGGUAGCUUGCUAUUGGAUGAUUCGAGUGGCGGACGGGUGAGUAACGCGUAGGCAACCUGCCCUUCAGACGGGGACAACAUCCCGAAAGGGGUGCUAAUACCGGAUACGAAGGAGCUAUCGCAUGGUGGCUCUUUGAAAGAUGGCCUCUAUUUAUAAGCUAUCGCUGAAGGAUGGGCCUGCGUCCGAUUAGCUGGUUGGUGGGGUAACGGCCUACCAAGGCGACGAUCGGUAGCCGGUCUGAGAGGAUGAACGGCCACAUUGGGACUGAGACACGGCCCAGACUCC
RNAcentral lists this ribosomal RNA (327 nucleotides) under uncultured Veillonellaceae bacterium. RNAcentral's name for it is "bacterial SSU rRNA". It matches the Rfam family "Bacterial small subunit ribosomal RNA", at positions 37 to 339 of the family's 1533-position model. The record is from RNAcentral. Lineage: Bacteria; Bacillati; Bacillota; Negativicutes; Veillonellales; Veillonellaceae.